This 91-nucleotide microRNA precursor is filed under the name Dryobates pubescens (Downy woodpecker). RNAcentral describes it as "Picoides pubescens (downy woodpecker) mir-7 microRNA precursor family". It matches the Rfam family "mir-7 microRNA precursor family". Rfam says of the family: This family represents the microRNA (miRNA) precursor mir-7. In this case the mature sequence comes from the 5' arm of the precursor. The record is from Rfam by way of RNAcentral. Lineage: Eukaryota; Metazoa; Chordata; Aves; Piciformes; Picidae.
UGGCCUAGUUCUGUGUGGAAGACUAGUGAUUUUGUUGUUGUUAGAUAACAAAAUUGACAACAAAUCACAGUCUGCCAUAUGGCACAGACCA